ACGCUGGCGGCAUGCCUAACACAUGCAAGUCGAACGAGACCUUCGGGUCUAGUGGCGCACGGGUGCGUAACACGUGGGAAUUUGCCUCGGGGUAUGGAAUAACUCAGGAAACUUGAGCUAAUACCAUAUAAUGUCUUCGGACCAAAGAUUUAUCGCCCUGAGAUAAGCCCGCGUAGGAUUAGCUAGUUGGUGGGGUAAAGGCUCACCAAGGCGACGAUCCUUAGCUGGUCUGAGAGGAUGAUCAGCCACACUGGGACUGAGACACGGCCCAGACUCCUACGGGAGGCAGCAGUGGGGGAAUAUUGGACAAUGGGCGAAAGCCUGAUCCAGCAAUGCCGCGUGAGUGAUGAAGGCCUUCGGGUUGUAAAGCUCUUUUACUCGGGACGAUAAUGACGGUACCGAGAGAAUAAGCCCCGGCUAACUCCGUG
Molecule: ribosomal RNA, 428 nt
Filed under: uncultured bacterium
Lineage: Bacteria
Description: bacterial SSU rRNA
Rfam family: Bacterial small subunit ribosomal RNA
Source: RNAcentral